This 714-nucleotide ribosomal RNA is filed under the name Lactobacillus sp. MS6. RNAcentral describes it as "bacterial SSU rRNA". It matches the Rfam family "Bacterial small subunit ribosomal RNA", at positions 8 to 680 of the family's 1533-position model. Lineage: Bacteria; Bacillati; Bacillota; Bacilli; Lactobacillales; Lactobacillaceae. The record is from RNAcentral.
AGAGUUUUGAUCCUGGCUCAGGACGAACGCUGGCGGCGUGCCUAAUACAUGCAAGUCGAACGAGGUUUGGUCAGUUUGCGGUGGUGCUUGCAUCACCAAUUACCGAUCAAACCGAGUGGCGGACGGGUGAGUAACACGUGGGUAACCUGCCCUUCAGCAGGGGAUAACAUUUGGAAACAGAUGCUAAUACCGUAUAACCACGGAGACCGCAUGGUCUCCGGGUAAAAGAUGGCGCAAGCUAUCACUGAAGGAUGGACCCGCGGCGUAUUAGCCAGUUGGUGGGGUAACGGCCUACCAAAGCGAUGAUACGUAGCCGACCUGAGAGGGUAAUCGGCCACAUUGGGACUGAGACACGGCCCAAACUCCUACGGGAGGCAGCAGUAGGGAAUCUUCCACAAUGGACGCAAGUCUGAUGGAGCAACGCCGCGUGAGUGAAGAAGGCUUUCGGGUCGUAAAACUCUGUUAUUGAAGAAGAACGUGUGUGACAGUAACUGGUCAUGCAGUGACGGUAUUCAAUCAGAAAGUCACGGCUAACUACGUGCCAGCAGCCGCGGUAAUACGUAGGUGGCAAGCGUUGUCCGGAUUUAUUGGGCGUAAAGCGAGUGCAGGCGGUCUUUUAAGUCUGAUGUGAAAGCCUUCGGCUUAACCGAAGAAGGGCAUCGGAAACUGGGAGACUUGAGUGCAGAAGAGGAGAGUGGAACUCCAUGUGCUAUG